UCUCUGGUAGUAUAUCGGAUAGUACACCCGCCUGUCAUCAUCAUCAUCGCGAGAGAGGACCGCGGGAGAGCGGGGUUCGACUCCCCGCCAGAGAG
Molecule: non-coding RNA, 95 nt
Organism: Pisolithus marmoratus
Lineage: Eukaryota; Fungi; Basidiomycota; Agaricomycetes; Boletales; Pisolithaceae
Source: the annotation of a GenBank genome assembly